ACAAAACCUAAAACCACAAAAACCAAUAACGUGGUUAAUUUGAGAGAACAUUUUCAGGUCUACAGUUUCAAUACCUCUAUGCUGAUUCAACACCUAACUACUGGCUGCUGUUGUGUUGAUCAGUGCAGGUAUAUGACAAAAGUGGUCUGAACUCGAGGAGUCGUGUGGUUACCGCGGGACGAGUUUUCCUGUGGGACUCGGCUGCUCUCUACAAGACGGCUGCGUCCUCGAGUGGGAGGAAAAUGACUGAAUAUCUGUGUCUGUGAAAUAGCCCAAAACCCACUUGAGGCGCCCCCCACAGGAGGACAGAGGUACUGUGUUACUGGACAGCAUACAAAGACAAAGGACAAGCAGGACAAGGAGUGUUUCUCUCAUCUCCUUGAAGUCUUAAGCAGAGAUCUCACUUUUGUUUAGUGACAAAUAAAUAACAUACUGGUUUUAAACUGUAUUUGUCCUGUACAAAAUGCAACAAUGGUAUUUUGUAGAGGGAGAUGAAUUUGGUGCUGUACAUAGUGCCAAUUAAAAUGUGUUUAUAAGCAA
Long non-coding RNA from Hippoglossus stenolepis (Pacific halibut), 540 nucleotides. RefSeq lists it as uncharacterized. Lineage: Eukaryota; Metazoa; Chordata; Actinopteri; Pleuronectiformes; Pleuronectidae. The record is from RefSeq and is a predicted model, not a curated record. The transcript is spliced from 3 exons.